GCCCUCAAAAGGUGUGCGUAGUAUCAGGUACUCAGGGGGCUGAGAUGGGAGGAUCCCAUGAGCCCAGGAGUUCUGGGCUGUAGUGUGCUAUGCCCAUCAGGUGUCCACACUAAGUUUAGCAUCAAUAGGGUGACCUCCUGGGAGCAGGGACCACCAGGUUGCCUAAGGAUGGUUGACAUGGCCUGGGACCAAAUGGAGCAGAUCAAAACUCCUGUGCUCAUCAGUAGUAGGAUAUGCCUGUGAAUAGCCAGUACACUCCAGCCUGGGCAACAUAGCAAGACCCCAUGUCU
Molecule: unclassified non-coding RNA, 290 nt
Organism: Aotus nancymaae (Ma's night monkey)
Lineage: Eukaryota; Metazoa; Chordata; Mammalia; Primates; Aotidae
Rfam family: Metazoan signal recognition particle RNA
About the family: The signal recognition particle (SRP) is a universally conserved ribonucleoprotein. It is involved in the co-translational targeting of proteins to membranes. The eukaryotic SRP consists of a 300-nucleotide 7S RNA and six proteins: SRPs 72, 68, 54, 19, 14, and 9.
Source: Ensembl